GAUAUUUGUUAGCCUUGAUGUUUGAAGUACUCAUCGGUGACCAAUAAGCUGUUAUACAGCCUUGAACACUGACUGAAGGGGGUCUGAAAUACCAUGGGGAUUAAAAAUAGCAAAACCACAUGCUGAAAUUAGAAUUUAUAUUUAGACGAUAUAUUGUCUUUCACUCACCCUGCAGAAUUUUAUUUUUAAGGCUGUACAUUGUGUGGCUCUGUGUUUCUCAUUUUAGAAACACAAGGAACUCACUGGAAAGCCAGACCUGGUUAAUACAAACAUAGUCUGAGUAAACAUACAGGAGUUGCUAUGCAGGAUAAGGGCAGAACAUUCUUCACCAACACCACAUUGGUUCAGUAUAAUCACAAACACUGAAAUUUUUCUUUGUGAAAGUGACACUGUGAAAUGUGUAACAAAAUUUUUCAAGGCAUUUGGGGAUGUAUAGUUCAGCAUUCAACAGGACCACCAAAGAUGUAGGCAGAUGCAUUUCCGCCGCUUCAAGGAAGGGUGCCGAAUGUGCGCAGGCCCUCUGUGCUAUCCUUCAUUGUUCCUGCAUUUACCUUCCUACUUCUAUGCAAUGGAGUGCAAAGCUUGUUUAUUGGCAGUCCUGAAGGCUUUGCAGAGGUACUGAAUGGUGGAAACUGAGAUUUCCAAAUCCUCCUAGGUUUUAGGGCAGCACUCUUUAAAUAGGAUUUCUGAGUCCCAAAUCUUUCUUAUAUCCUUGAUAAUUUUUAUAUUAU
This 731-nucleotide long non-coding RNA is filed under the name Homo sapiens (human). RNAcentral describes it as "non-protein coding lnc-PDK3-10:1". Lineage: Eukaryota; Metazoa; Chordata; Mammalia; Primates; Hominidae. The record is from RNAcentral.